Schistocerca americana (American grasshopper) is the source of this 698-nucleotide long non-coding RNA. RefSeq lists it as uncharacterized. Lineage: Eukaryota; Metazoa; Arthropoda; Insecta; Orthoptera; Acrididae. The transcript has 3 exons. The record is from RefSeq and is a predicted model, not a curated record.
UUACAAUAUUAACAAUAUUAUGAUAAACCCUUUUCAUAACACUGAAAUCAAGCAUUUUGGAAGACAGGUCUGCGUGCUUGCAUUGAGUUUCAGAACCACCAAAUGUUGCAGCUGAUAAUGGCAAUCCAGUAGCUCAUUAAUGCACGAACUGCUGCUGCACCAACUCUGCCACAACAGCCAACCACGUCCAUGGCACCACCUCAAUGCAUUCCACCGUUCUGAACUUUCAAUGAACAACAAGAGGAAUGGAAUGAGUGGUACGCACAGUUCAGUGCUCACUGUUCUACACAUCAAGUGAAAGAUUUGCAUCCUACAGGGAUCUUGCGGCCACCUCCACGGUCCACUUCGGCACUGCCCAUGGAACCAAUGGAGCUGGACCCAUCGCCAUCGCCACUGCAAAAGCUCAACUUCCCAGCACUUGCCUCAGCACCCGUUGUGGACCUGGCAUCAUCGUCAUCGCCAUCCUCUCCAUUUUUGUCAGACUGUCUCAGGAAGAGGGUGGGCACCUUUUUGGGUGUUUUCUGACCGACAUUCCUCUUGGAGCACAGGACAGAUGUUGGGGUGCAGCCGGGGCUCGGCUUCGGUCCCAUUUCCUCAUGCCACACCCCAUUUCCUGCCUCCUGGCCCUCCCCCCUCCCCGACUGUUGUGAGAUGGCUCCCUACAUGCAAUGGCGAGGAUAUUGGGGGGGGGGGGGGGG